UACAACUCAUAACCCACCUAAUCCUUUAUCUCUCUCAUUUUUUCUGUCUCAUCUCUCUCUCUCUCUACAACCCAGAACCAAGCCGAACAUCCCUAUUCACUCUCUCUCAUUUCAUUUCGCCUCUCAUCUUCUUUCACUCAGUCUCAGACUCUCCCUCUCUUUCUCAGAUUUGAAGCUCAGCAGCCACCCACCGUCUAGCAAUCUGACUCCGACGAACUAUCUCCACUCCGGCCACCACCACACCUCAUGGCUUCAUCCCCACCUCCGGUUCUCUCCAGUGAUUCUCUGUGUGUGUGGGAUUUCGAAUUGAGGUUCGGAUGAUUUCAAUAUUAAUCUAAGAUGAUUUGGAUUCUGAUGAUGUUUGGUUUCGGGAAAUUCCGAAAUACCGAAAAUAUUUCGGGAAUCCCGAAAUUUGGGAAUCCGAAAUUUUGGUUCGGGAUCGGUUAUGAGAUUUACGUCCCGAAAAUUUUCGGUUCGGGAUUUGAUAUGUCAUUUUUGGUUCGGUAUCCCAUACCAAACCAGCCCU
Molecule: small RNA, 526 nt
Filed under: Malus domestica (apple)
Lineage: Eukaryota; Viridiplantae; Streptophyta; Magnoliopsida; Rosales; Rosaceae
Description: sRNA MD05G0180100
Source: RNAcentral